AAGACAGCUUGGAAGGGAUUGUUCGAGGAUGUGGGAUUUGGUCUUAGAAGACCGAAGGAUAAAUGUUUCGAGACAAGGAGUGGAUCAGGCCAGAUAAGUAUGGCCAUUUCUCUCAGGAGUUCUGGAAUUUCUGUGAAGUGCCUGUCGAAGCUGUGGAUGCCAGUGACUGUGACAUCAACUACGAGGGCCUGGACAACCUCCUCCGCCUGAAGGAGCUCCAGUCCUUGUCGCUGCAGCGCUGCUCCCACGUGGACGACUGGUGUCUCAGCCGCCUCUACCCACUGGCCGACUCGUUGCAGGAGCUCUCGCUGGCCGGUUGCCCCCGCGUCUCCGAACGGGGCCUCGCCUGCCUCCACCACCUCCAGUGAGACCUCAGCUCAGGCUGGGCCCCGUACCCAGGCACCUCUCCCACCUAACCCAGAUGCAGGAGAGGAAGUGGGGAGGGGCAAUGUUGGGCAGUUCUCAUAUCCCCCUGCAUCCAUCACAAACCUAGAGUAUUUAUGGUAGAUGAGCAGUCACAGUGAGUCUCUGGAAGAAUUAAAUGACUCCUGGUUUUUCUUCCUUUUUGUUUUAGUCAAAACCCUGUGAUAUCGACGCUGUUGCAGAACAGCAGGAGCUGGAGUUGCAUAUUUGCAAUUAACACAGUGGGCUUCAUGUGCCUGGACAGCUAUAAAGAUUUUAUUUUAGGAAGCUAAGGUUGAAAUUUGGGGCCAGUACCUCCCUACACACACACGCACACACACACUGUCCUGUAAGGUUGAAAUUUGGGGCCAGUACCUCCCUAUACACACACACACAUACACACACACACACGCACGCACACACACACACUGUCCUGUAAGGUUGAAAUUUGGGGCCAGUACCUCCCUAGACACACACACACACACACACACACACACACACUGUCCUGUACCUCCCUACACACACACAUACACACACGCACACGCUGUCCUGUACCUCCCUACACACACACAUACACACACGCACACGCUGUCCUGUACCUCCCUACACACACACACACACACACGCUGUCCUUACACUGGCUUACCUCCCUGUACACACACACACACAUGCACGCACACACUGUCCUGUACCUCCCUAUACACACACACGCUGUCCUUACACUGGCUUACCUCCCUAUACACACACACACACACGCACACGCUGUCCUGUACCUCCCUACACACACACACAUGCUGUCCUUACACUGGCUUCCUGUCCUUCUCACCCCUUUUCAGGAACCUCCGCAGGCUGGACAUCUCGGACCUCCCUGCCGUGUCCAACCCUGGCCUCACUCAAAUCUUGGUGGAGGAGAUGCUGCCCAAUUGCGAGGUUGUGGGGGUCGACUGGGCCGAGGGCCUGAAGUCGGGGCCGGAGGAGCAGCCUCAGGACACAGCCAGCCCUGUCCCUGCCUAGCCUUCAGCCCUGUCCCCACUCACGUGGCUUCUCAGCGGGCUGCAUAGAAUGUCUGGUAGCUCACCACACUUCUGGCUUCCAUUUGUCUUCACUCAAUGUCAGGGUGGGGGAGUGGUGCUGGCCAAUCACAGGAGAGAGCAUGAGUUCCCAGUAUUUAUUCCUGGCUGCCCUUGGCUAAAGGUCACAGCUCCUGUCACCCUGUCAGGCAGCCCUUUCCAUGCCCCUGUUCAGGCCUGGGGAGGUAAAGGCUCAGGCUGUUAGUAGCCGCAGAGAGCCACGCUCACCUUGUCAAGAGACUCUUCUCAAACUGUCGUUAUGUGAGUGCACUGCCAUUUCUUGUAGGGACCCUGACUGACACAGGGGCUACUACUGACACUUUACAGGGAUGGUUCUCCCCCGUGCAGGGCCGCUGUGCCCACUGCAGGACAUGCAGCAUCCUUCGCCCCACUCCACUCACUAAAGGCCAGCGCACCCCAGGCCCCAUGGUAUUGCUGGUUAUGGAUUUAUUGACUUUACGUUCCAAAUUCAGCUUUUUCAGUUGGCUGUUUUUUGAAAGGGCAUAAGCUUUGUCAGUAGAGGGCACCAAACAGGCAUUAUAGGAGGAAAGGCGCCUCCUUCGUGGUUCUUGUUGGUUGUGCUUCUGCCUCUGGACGCCGCAGUGCAUGUGGCUUCCCCAGCACCCAGCUCCUGAAGCACCAGGCGGUCAGCAGCUGCCCUUGGCACCCUCCAGCCCUCAGAAGUUGCGUAGGAGACACAGCGCCUCCACUGAGGCACCUCUCUGGGAAUAACGUUCCCCAGCACCUCAAAUGGAUUUCCAGUCAAUUCAGAAGCAUUUUACCAGUGAAGCCCUCAUUAUUCCAGUUCACUGUUUAAAGCCAGUAAUUCUCUAUAUUAAACUUUCCCUGUUCAAGUU
RNAcentral lists this small RNA (2329 nucleotides) under Pan troglodytes (chimpanzee). RNAcentral's name for it is "retained intron". Lineage: Eukaryota; Metazoa; Chordata; Mammalia; Primates; Hominidae. The record is from RNAcentral.